GGUUAAGUGACUAAGCGUACACGGUGGAUGCCUUGGCAGUCAGAGGCGAUGAAAGACGUAGUAACUUGCGAUAAGCCCAGAUUAGGUAGUAACAACCAUUUGAGUCUGGGAUUUCUGAAUGGGGAAACCCACGUGCAUAAGCACGUAUCCUUACCUGAAUACAUAGGGUAAGGAGGCGAACCGGGGGAACUGAAACAUCUAAGUACCCCGAGGAAAAGAAAUCAACCGAGAUUCCGAAAGUAGCGGCGAGCGAAAUUGGACUAGCCCUUAAGCUUUACACGCGUUAGACGAACGGUCUGGAAAGUCCGACGAUACAGGGUGAUAGUCCCGUAGUUGACGACGUGUGUUCAGUGAAAUCGAGUAGGGCGGGACACGUGAUAUCCUGUCUGAAUAUGGGGGGACCAUCCUCCAAGGCUAAAUACUACUGACUGACCGAUAGUGAACCAGUACCGUGAGGGAAAGGCGAAAAGAACCCCUGUGAGGGGAGUGAAAUAGAACCUGAAACCGUGUACGUACAAGCAGUAGGAGCAGGCUUUGUCCUGUGACUGCGUACCUUUUGUAUAAUGGGUCAGCGACUUAUAUUCAGUGGCAAGGUUAACCAUCUAGGGGAGCCGUAGGGAAACCGAGUCUUAACUGGGCGUUCAGUCUCUGGAUAUAGACCCGAAACCAGGUGAUCUAGCCAUGGGCAGGUUGAAGGUUGAGUAACAUCAACUGGAGGACCGAACCGACUAAUGUUGAAAAAUUAGCGGAUGACUUGUGGCUAGGGGUGAAAGGCCAAUCAAACCUGGAGAUAGCUGGUUCUCCCCGAAAGCUAUUUAGGUAGCGCCUCGGACGAAUACUACUGGGGGUAGAGCACUGUUAAGGCUAGGGGGUCAUCCCGACUUACCAACCCUUUGCAAACUCCGAAUACCAGUAAGUACUAUCCGGGAGACACACGGCGGGUGCUAACGUCCGUCGUGGAGAGGGAAACAACCCAGACCGCCAGCUAAGGUCCCAAAUUACUACUAAGUGGGAAACGAUGUGGGAAGGCUCAGACAGCCAGGAUGUUGGCUUAGAAGCAGCCAUCAUUUAAAGAAAGCGUAAUAGCUCACUGGUCGAGUCGGCCUGCGCGGAAGAUGUAACGGGGCUAAGUAGUAAACCGAAGCUGCGGCAAUGUGCUUUUGCACAUUGGGUAGGGGAGCGUUCUGUAAGCGGUUGAAGGUGUGUGGUAACGCAUGCUGGACGUAUCAGAAGUGCGAAUGCUGACAUGAGUAACGAUAAAGGGGGUGAAAAACCUCCUCGCCGGAAGACCAAGGGUUCCUGUCCAACGUUAAUCGGGGCAGGGUAAGUCGACCCCUAAGGCGAGGCCGAAAGGCGUAGUCGAUGGGAAACGGGUUAAUAUUCCCGUACUUCUUACAAUUGCGAUGGGGGGACGGAGAAGGCUAGGUGGGCCUGGCGACGGUUGUCCAGGUUCAAGUGCGUAGGCUUAAGAGUUAGGUAAAUCCGGCUCUUUUUAAGGCUGAGACACGACGUCGAGCAUCUACGGAUGUGAAGUCAUUGAUGCCAUGCUUCCAGGAAAAGCCUCUAAGCUUCAGAUUGUAAGGAAUCGUACCCCAAACCGACACAGGUGGUCGGGUAGAGAAUACCAAGGCGCUUGAGAGAACUCGGGUGAAGGAACUAGGCAAAAUGGUACCGUAACUUCGGGAGAAGGUACGCUCUCGACGGUGAAGUCCCUCGCGGAUGGAGCUAUUGAGAGUCGCAGAUACCAGGUGGCUGCAACUGUUUAUUAAAAACACAGCACUGUGCAAAAUCGUAAGAUGACGUAUACGGUGUGACGCCUGCCCGGUGCCGGAAGGUUAAUUGAUGGGGUUAGACUUCGGUCGAAGCUCUUGAUCGAAGCCCCGGUAAACGGCGGCCGUAACUAUAACGGUCCUAAGGUAGCGAAAUUCCUUGUCGGGUAAGUUCCGACCUGCACGAAUGGCGUAAUGAUGGCCACGCUGUCUCCACCCGAGACUCAGUGAAAUUGAAAUCGCUGUGAAGAUGCAGUGUACCCGCGGCUAGACGGAAAGACCCCGUGAACCUUUACUACAGCUUGGCACUGAACAUUGACCCUACAUGUGUAGGAUAGGUGGGAGGCUUUGAAGCACGUACGCCAGUAUGUGUGGAGCCGUCCUUGAAAUACCACCCUUGUAGUGUUGAUGUUCUAACGUCGACCCCUUAUCGGGGUUGCGGACAGUGCCUGGUGGGUAGUUUGACUGGGGCGGUCUCCUCCCAAAGAGUAACGGAGGAGCACGAAGGUGGGCUAAUCACGGUUGGACAUCGUGAGGUUAGUGCAAUGGCAUAAGCCCGCUUGACUGCGAGAAUGACAAUUCGAGCAGGUGCGAAAGCAGGUCAUAGUGAUCCGGUGGUUCUGAAUGGAAGGGCCAUCGCUCAACGGAUAAAAGGUACUCCGGGGAUAACAGGCUGAUACCGCCCAAGAGUUCAUAUCGACGGCGGUGUUUGGCACCUCGAUGUCGGCUCAUCACAUCCUGGGGCUGAAGUCGGUCCCAAGGGUAUGGCUGUUCGCCAUUUAAAGUGGUACGCGAGCUGGGUUUAGAACGUCGUGAGACAGUUCGGUCCCUAUCUGCCGUGGGCGUUGGAAGAUUGAAGGGGGCUGCUCCUAGUACGAGAGGACCGGAGUGGACGAACCUCUGGUGUUCGGGUUGUGUCGCCAGACGCAUUGCCCGGUAGCUAAGUUCGGAAUCGAUAACCGCUGAAAGCAUCUAAGCGGGAAGCGAGCCCUGAGAUGAGUCUUCCCUGAUACUUUAAGUAUCCUAAAGGGUUGUCGGAGACUACGACGUUGAUAGGUCAGGUGUGUAAGUGCUGUGAGGCAUUGAGCUAACUGAUACUAAUUGCCCGUGAGGCUUAACCAU
Vibrio parahaemolyticus RIMD 2210633 is the source of this 2891-nucleotide ribosomal RNA. It matches the Rfam family "Bacterial large subunit ribosomal RNA". The record is from Rfam. Lineage: Bacteria; Pseudomonadati; Pseudomonadota; Gammaproteobacteria; Vibrionales; Vibrionaceae.